Vitis riparia (riverbank grape) is the source of this 367-nucleotide long non-coding RNA. RefSeq lists it as uncharacterized. The record is from RefSeq and is a predicted model, not a curated record. NCBI's taxonomy places the organism in Eukaryota, Viridiplantae, Streptophyta, Magnoliopsida, Vitales, Vitaceae. The transcript has 3 exons.
GCUGGUCGUUACUUUGGUUACUAAUGCGGCAAACAAUGCUAGAGAUAAGGUCUUGAAGGCAUGUCGAAUUUGAUUAAUAGAGGCCACCUUGGACAGGCAAGGUCAAUGAUGGAACCGUACUUGCAUGAGAGUGGGGCUGGUGGUGCCGACAGUGCAUAAUCAGAAGAAUCUUGAGGUGGUUCGUAAGCUGGGAAAGCACUAAGAAAAGAAGAACAAGAAAAUACCAAGGUUCUCCUCAUUAAUGCGAUCUCACUUGCACAUGCCAGUUGUGAAUUUGGAUGUCAACUAUGAUUUGCCGCUUAAAUAUGGGACACAGGCAGAGCCUGACUAUGAGGUGUACUUGCAUAGAAAUGGGAGGGCAUGACGU